This is a non-coding RNA of Taeniopygia guttata (zebra finch), 2744 nucleotides long. The record is from RefSeq and is a predicted model, not a curated record. Lineage: Eukaryota; Metazoa; Chordata; Aves; Passeriformes; Estrildidae.
UUUGGGGGUUUUUUUAUGUUUUUAGGAAAACACCAGUAAAAUAUUUCAGUAAGUGCUAAUAUGUCUACGUGAUCCUUGUUGAAAUUUUCUCUCACUUUUCACUUUAGAAGUAUGCUGGGAAUAAUGCAAACACACAAUUCUGGGGCUUGAUCUCUAAAGGAUUACAUGUAUCUCAACAUCUAGGAGAACUUUCAAUUCAUUUCUGCAAUAUGAAUGCCACUAAUAGAAGCCUGCCUGUUUUAGGGCUGUGUACUUUGAGUAUGAAAUAUCCAUAUCUAAGAAAAGAGAAAAUUGUGGCUGUGUAAACAAAAUUCAUAAUAUCUUCAACUGCCUGGGAAAGAGAUCUCAUUAUCUCUCAGAUAAACUAAGCUGAAAAGACAGCAAAUGUUGCUCUUUCAAGUUUCUUUCAUUAAGUAUUAGGUGUUAGCUACACUAUUAAUGUACACACAGAAAAAUGUUCCCUUGGAUUAGAAUUUAGUUUAUUGUUUUCUGUCUUCAGUUAAUAAGUUGGGAAAAUGCAGUCAACCCCAGUUUAUACUCCAGUAAGUGCCACUCAGCAGGUGAUUAGUAAUUUUAUUGGAUAUCACUUCUUUUUCUUGCAUUUUAUUCCUUUCCUCUCUCCUACCUCUUUUCAUUGCUAUUACUAUUGUUUUAAAUAGCACUAUUCUCAUUAGUAUAAUUAAAAUCAUUUGUAGUAAAUUUUAUGUUGCUUCUGUUAUUAAACUGUUCAUUCCUGAGUUUUAAUUUUUUUUCCCAGUUCUUCUCUCCAUUCCACCUGGCUGGGGGGUGGGAGUGAGUGGCUGUAUGAGAGUGAUCUCAGGUGCUGGCUGGGGUUAAAAUAUGAGUGUCCUUUUGAGCACCCAAUAUGAGGCUGCUUCAGCACGCAACACCUACUCUGGUGAAUUCCAAAAAACUUUCCUUCUGGCCAGUCCAUUAUCACUUCCAAGGUUCCUGGGUGACUAGGAUUUCUUAUUCAAGCUUGUGUGAUCAGUGUGACCCACUUGCUCUGUGUGCAGUGUGCAGAGGAGGCCCUUUCACCAUCCAGCCCAGCACCAGCAGCUGCUGUGCCAGGAGAAGCUGUGCUUGCAUGGCCUGAGUCUUUGGUGAAGGAGCAUCUAAUGUGACAUAUCUUCAAAAUCAGGAUUUCCACCCCAGGCAGCAAUAUCUUACCACAAUGGGUUUACCUCUGCCCUGCCAGUUACCCUGAUUCCAUUUCUAUUGCGUCCCUCACAGGUCAUUUGUCACCAUCUGUGAGUCAACAGAGAGGAUAUAACCUCAUGACGUUCAACUAGGGGAAGUGCCAAGUCCUCCACCUGGGAUAAAACAGCCUGAGGCAGCAGGAGAUGCUGGGUGCCAUCCUGCUAAGAAGCAAGUUUGCGGAAAAGGCCCUGGAGCUGGACACCCACUUGACCAAGAGCCAGCAAUGUGUCCUUGCUGGAAAGAAGGUGUUACCUGGAUCAAGCUCCAGCAAUAAAAGGGAGCAGUAAAGACCUGCAGCAGAACAGAGCUGCUCUAAGGCCUCUUCCAACUCAGCAUAUUCUAUGGCGCAUAACCUGCUGGCCAAACUAUGGCACAUACUUCCCAGACCAUGAUGGAGUGAAGAGGGCAGCUAGAACUGCUGAGAAAUUCUGAAAAUUCUCAGAAAAGAUGCAGAAGGAUGGAUCUGAAGGUAUCAAGGCAGAUUUCUGAGACUAAAGUAUAUUUACAAAGGACGUGAACUGAUGCAAGUUCAGUAGAAGGUAGGAAAGAAUGAAAUGUCAGAGAGCAAAACAACUGGAAAGACAUAACGAAGCUGCUGUUUGCAAGAAAUAGAAGAAAGCUAUGUGCAAAUACCAUGCAGAAGACAUAUACAAAAAGACAUCACUCUCAGUAGCAGCCCACAGAUUUUUCAUCUUGUGUUUAAAAGUAAGCCAAGCCUUACUGUGCGCCAUGUGGACUGACAGCAGACAAGGGUAAACAAUAAGAAUACUUUAAAUAAUAAGUAAAUAAGAGUUAAUAAAAACUCAUUCUGUGAACUCAGGACCACAGGAAACUCCCUGUAGAAUCAGAAGGUCAGGUCUGCGGUCCAUCUGUCUCAAUCCCCUGUCUCCAACAACAGCAAUAGGAGAUGCUGGUUAGGAAGAGCACAUGAGCUGAGCCCUGAAGGCUCUUCUCCACGUACUCCCCAAUACUCCCAGUUCCUAGGGCAGAGGCCAAUUUCUAUCUAUUCCCUUCAGCAUGUCCCCAUAUGGUACUCACUUUGGAAAAAAAGCUGGAGACUCUCCGUGCUUUUUGAGUCUGAAACCUGUAAUCACAACAACAAAGGUAGGAUCAAAAGUGGGGGAAAGUGCAGCAGAAAAAAGAAGAGGAAAAGUUUCUGAAGUAAUGCAGCAGAGCACAGCCACUGGGGAAAAAAAAUAAAGGAAAAAAAAAAAAAAAGAAGAGAGAAAAAUAAAAGAGAAAAAGAAAUUCUGAACUGAAGCCAAAUUAUAAACACGGUCCUGCGGAUCCAUUAAGGUACAUUAAUGCUGCCACUUCCCCAUCUGUUCCCUGAAGUUCCAAACCAAAAACAAUUCAUCUGCAGUCUUGGCUCCCGUAUUGUGUGAAACAUUCAUCUAUUAAAUUAAUCUGGAGAAAAUGUAUCUAUUUCAUCCCUGGUGGGACUUUGUUUUGUUUUGAUAGGGCUGCAUACCAUGGAUUGUAGCCUAUUGAGGCCACAGAUAAAAAAACAUGUGAAUAAUAAAAUAACAAAUGAAACAAAUAAA